AGUGAACGCUGGCGGUAGGCCUAACACAUGCAAGUCGAACGGCAGCACAGUAAGAGCUUGCUCUUACGGGUGGCGAGUGGCGGACGGGUGAGGAAUACAUCGGAAUCUACUUUUUCGUGGGGGAUAACGUAGGGAAACUUACGCUAAUACCGCAUACGACCUACGGGUGAAAGCAGGGGAUCUUCGGACCUUGCGCGAUUGAAUGAGCCGAUGUCGGAUUAGCUAGUUGGCGGGGUAAAGGCCCACCAAGGCGACGAUCCGUAGCUGGUCUGAGAGGAUGAUCAGCCACAUUAGAGCUGAAACACGGUCCAUACUCCUACGGGAGGCAGCAGUGGGGAAUAUUGGACAAUGGGCGCAAGCCUGAUCCAGCCAUACCGCGUGGGUGAAGAAAGCCUUCGGGUUGUAAAGCCCUUUUGUUGGGAAAGAAAAGCAGCAGGUUAAUACCCCGCUGUUCUGACGGUACCCAAAGAAUAAGCACCGGCUAACUUCGUG
This 492-nucleotide ribosomal RNA is filed under the name uncultured bacterium. RNAcentral's name for it is "partial 16S ribosomal RNA". It matches the Rfam family "Bacterial small subunit ribosomal RNA", at positions 29 to 507 of the family's 1533-position model. The record is from RNAcentral.